CGAGAAGACCCCAUUGAGCUUUACUAUUAACUUGUAUUGCCAGAGCCAAGGGACCCUCCCCGGGUCCCUGCUUCAUAAUAAAAUUGUGAAGACUAAGUGGAAAAAGAAAAAACAAGGGAUUAAAAAGAACGGAGAGCCCGGAGGGCGGCGGGGGGGGGCCUAAAGGGCUCCCCCCCGCCGCCCUGUCCCGAUUUAUAUGAAAAACCACUCUUUUUAUUAAGAUUACUGUCUAAAACCGUACAAGUAAGAUAGUUUGGUUGGGGCGACCGCCUUCGAAAAAGUAUCGAAGGCGCACAUAAGAUUAGUCCGGAGGGGGGUCCAAAGGAUCCCCCUCCCGGGGGCAAUGCCCCAAAAAAAGAUCAGUUUGACUGAGAGGGCUACAACCCGAACAGACGCCAGGGACCCGGGGGGGGGCCGGGGGGCCCCAUAGGCGCCCCGGCCCCCCCCCCCGCCUUUUGGCGGGUCAUAGUGAUCCGUUGUUAUAUUGUGGGAUUGACAACGAUCAA
Molecule: ribosomal RNA, 506 nt
Filed under: Placozoa sp. H18
Lineage: Eukaryota; Metazoa; Placozoa
Description: partial 16S ribosomal RNA
Rfam family: Bacterial large subunit ribosomal RNA
Source: RNAcentral